AUUUAAUUUGCAAUUUCUCGACUUAUGGUUAUGUAGUUUUUCUUCCGUAUUAUGCACUUUUUAUACACUUACAAUUCACCACAAUAUUUCUACAUAUUUAUUUUUUAUUAAUAUUUUAGAUGUUUGCUUAAAAUAAGCAUUUUAUAUUUUACAUAAAUAUUAUUACACGCACAAUAACAAUAAGUGUUCCGUGUUGUCAAAUAAUAAGUAUUGCCAUAUCUACACAUUUAUCAAACGAAUAAAAAAUAGGUUUAUACGCCAAAUACAUAAAUCAUUAUCCUUUUUUCUUUCUAUAUCAUGAGUAAUAAUCAAAAAAGGAGUUUUACUCGAAAAAAAACCCUGACACACCCUGGUGUUGGCACACCCCGGUGUUGGAUCGGCCAGGGUUAUUUUUUUGAAGCGCGGCCGAAGGCCGUCAACGCAAAACGGAGUUUUACUCGAAAAAAACCUGACACACCCCGGUGUUGGAUCGGCCAGGGUUAUUUUUUUGAAGCGCGGCCAAAGGCCGCCAACGCAAAAAGGAGUUUUACUCGAAGAAAAAUCUGACACACCCUGGUGUUGGCACACCCCGGUGUUGGAUCGGCCAGGGUUAUUUUUUUGAAGCGCGGCCGAAGGCCGCCAACGCAAAAAGGAGUUUUACUCGAAAAAAACCUGACACCCCGGUGUUGGAUCGGCCAGGGCUAUUUUUUUGAAGCGCGGCCGAAGGCCGCCAACGCAAAAAGAGAGUUUCAAUCGUAAAAACCUGACACACCCAGGUGUUGGUCGCCCAGGAUAAUUUUUUUCAUGCAUUUGAGUUUUUUUUAUUUAUUUCUAUUGUUUUCAAUCAUUUGUGAUAUGGUAACACUUAUUAUUUGACAACACGGAACACUUACUGUUAUUGUGCGUGUAGUAAUAUUUAUGUAAAAUAUAAAAUGCUUAUUUUAAGCAAAUAUCUAAAAUAUUAAUAAAAAAUAAAUAUGUAUGUAGAAAUAUUGUAGCGAAUUGUAAGUGUAUAAAAAGUGCAUAAUACGGAAGAAAAACUAACCAUAAGUCGAGAAAUUGCAAAAUUAAAUUUGCAAAAUUUUCAACUUUAAAUGCAAAUAUCUCAAAAACUAUAAGUUUGCGGCGGCAAUAAUUAUAUAUAUUCUUAAUCUGGUGCAUCAGCACUAUCCAACCAUACCACUUUUAACCCUGAAAUCGUGGGAUGGUAUACUAAAGUUUCCCCCGUACAUGUAUACACAAUCUAGUUUAGUACACUUUAUACUGUGAAGCUGUGAAGACGAGACAAUAAAUUACCGGAGCAUUAUACUAUACACGAUUGUCUUAUUAUUCACGCAAACAAGUAGGUUCUUACAGUGGCGACGAGGAUGGGAUUAUGUGUAGCAGCAGAACAUUUUCUUUCAGUUGAAAAAAAAACUAAAAUUUGUUUAAUUUCUUCCACGCAAAUAAAGCAUCGGUUUUUCUGCAUCGGAUUUUUCUUAGCGAGUCAAAAGCAGCGAGUUGAUAUACAUACAUAUAUACAUAGUUGAUGUAAUUGCGACGGAGAAGAUAUUUCUUUACAUGUAGCAAAUCAGCACAACUGUCAACUCGAAGCAACGAGUUGAUACACACAUACAUAGUUGAUGAAAUAGCGAAGGAGAAAAUAUUUCUUUACAUUCAUCAAACCAGCACAACUGUCAAUAAGAGACGUAGCAAACAAAAAAAAAAAAAGUAUACAAGUUAAUAAGCAAAGGCCAUUCAAUUGGCGCAACUGAAUAAGUAAAGAGGCUGCCCGUUAAAUUGGUUUGUUGAGCGACAAAUACAGUGGCCAUUAAAUUGGGAAAGCAUUUAAUUGGAAAUUAAAAGCCACUGAACUGGUAAAAUAUACUUCUGUCCGGGGCAUUAAAUUGGCUAAAGAAGAAAUAAAAGCAAGCAAGAUGAGCGAAAUUAAACCAUUCCUGUGCGAUAGCAUUGAUAGGGCGUUAUUACGAAGCGAGUGGGAAAAAUGGCUGAGGUCGUUUACUCUGUAUCUUCAAUCGGAAGAUAUUACAAAUGAGGUAAAGCGAAGAAACAAACUGCUUCAUUUAGGUGGGCCACAACUACAAGAGGUAAUUUAUAAUAUCCCUGGGGCCAUUGUGGAAGUUGACACUGAACAGCCGGAGAGACACAUAUAUAGAAACAUAGCGCCUUUGGAGAGCGAAAAUUUUAACAAUUUCUUGUUGCGUUUGAGGUACAAAGCUUCUAAAUGUCAUUUUGGCGAAACAAAAAGCGAAAUAGACAUCGCUCUAAAAGAUAAACUCAUUGAGUCGUGGGCUCCAGUGGAGCUUAAAAAACGCUUACUUGAAAAAGAACACGACUUGAAAGAAAUUAUUGAUGCUUGCCAGAUUCAUGAGCAGAUAUAUAAACAAUCGCAGGACAUGUUGCCUAAAAAAGAGGGUGAAGAAGUGAACAGGGUGGUUGCAAAAUCAAAAGGGAGCAGGAAUAAUGGGGGUGAGUGUGGUAGAUGUGGUCAGGCGGGGCACGUGAGCUCUGACAUUAAUUGUCCAGCAAGAAAUGCUAAAUGCAAUAAAUGUGGAUUAAUAGGGCAUUACUCACGCAAAUGCAAAACAAAGAGUUUAAAAAGAAAACUCGGCGACGUAAAAUACAAUAAUUCGAAACAGCGCCGAUUACAUCCGUCAAAAGUUAGGUGUAUCGAAAAAGUUAACAACGACUCAUCAGAUGAUUCCCUACAAUAUGAUUGCCUUCAAGUGGAAUCGUGCGAAUCGACGAACGAAUUGAUAAGUUGCGAUUGUUGGACAUACUGUCCCUAUGAUAAUAGAUUCAGGAUCUAGGUUUAACUUGUUAGGUCAAGACGUUUGGAAUGCGUUGAAUGCAGCUAAUAAAAUUUUAACAGUCUUAUAUGUUUUCGAGGCACCAAUAGGGGUGAGAAAGGGUACGGAAGUUAUAGCUACUUUUUAUGUAAUAAAAGAUGGGAAACAAUCUCUUCUCGGCCGAGAUACUGCAAUUCAACUCAAGGUAUUGAUAUUGGGGCUUGACGUAAAUAGAAUUGAGAAAAUAGAACCGUUUCCGAAAAUUUUCAAUAUUAAGAUAAAGCUAUAGUUUGAUAAGUCCAUUAAACCAGUCAAACAGCAUUUACGUCGCAUUCCAGUUGCCCUAGAGAAACAAGUUGAGAAGAAAUUAGAAGAAGCGCUCGCAAAGGAGCCAGUUAGGGGUCCAACUCAAUGGAUCUCACCAAUUGUCGUAGUUCUAAAAGAUCAUGGUGAAAUUCGUCUUUGCGUCGAUAUGCGUAGGGCCAAUAAAGCUGUGCCCACGUUCGAUACCUUUAUGACGAAACUGAGCGAUGCAAAAAUAUUUUCUCGACUUGAUCUUAAAUGGGCGUAUCACCAAUUGGAACUUGAAGAAUCAAGUCGAGAAAUUACAACAUUCAUAACACAUAAAGGUUUGUUUCGUUACAAAAGAUUAAUGUUUGGCAUCAAUUCCGCCCAGAAAUAUUUCAGCGGGUUUUCGAGGAGCUACUCUCGACGUGUCAAAAUUGCUUGAAUUAUUUAGACGAUAUUAUCGUAUAUGGGAAAUCGGAAAAAGAUCAUGACUCAGCCGUUGAAAAUGUACUUAAGGUUUUGAAGAACAACAAUGUUUUACUCAAUGAUGAAAAAUGCGUUUGGGGGGCAAGAAAACUUAAAUUUUUUGGUCACGUAUUGUCGGAUGUAGGUAUAUUUCCGGACCCGGACAAAAUUAAAACAAUUAUGGAGUUUAGAGCACCGCAAACAAAAGAAGAAACAAGAAGGUUUCUUGGCCUCAUCACGUACAUCGGAAAAUUUAUACCGGAUAUGGCUGAUACGACAGAGCCGCUGAGAAAGCUACUUAAGUUAGAUGCAAAAUUUAUAUGAGGCCCCACACAACAAAACGCUUUUGCAAAACUGAAACAUCUUUUAUCAAACAUACCCACCUUAUCAUAUUUUGAUCCCUCAAAUAUAACAAGGGUUAUUGCGGAUGCGAGUCUUGUGGCUUUGGGUGCAGUCCUUAUACAGUUUAAUUCUAAUAAUGAACCGAAUAUUAUUUCUUUUGCCAGUAAAAGCCUUUCGGAGGUAGAAUAAAGAUAUUCUCAAACAGAAAAAGAAAGUUUGGCGCUUGUAUGGGCUGUCGAGAGGUUCUAUUACUACUUAGUAUUACUAGACUUUGAAUUGGUCACCGAUCAUAAGCCUCUUGAAACCAUAUUUAAGCCAACUUCAAAACCACCUGCGAGAAUUGAACGGUGGCUGUUGGGGCUUCAGUCGUUUAAAUUUAAAGUUAUAUACCGCUCAAGAAAAGAAAAUAUUGCGGACUCCCUUUCGAGGUUAUGUAAAUUGGAAAGAGCGAAGUCCUUUGAUGACAACGUAGAGAAAUCUAUUUUUCACAUAAUUUCCAAUUCAACACCAACAGCAUUGGCCAUAAGCGAGAUCUCAGAGAAGGGUUCAAGGGAUAAAGAAAUAACUGAAGCCAUGGAGUGUAUUAAAUGUGACAGCUGGCCAUAAAAUACUAUCAAUAGAUACUUUCCAUUUAGACACGAAUUAACAACAGUUGGUGAUAUAAUCUUGCGCGGCACCCGGAUAGUUAUACCAACAGACCUACGGGCGAAGGUUUUGGAGCUAGCUCAUGAAGGACACCCUGGUGAAUCCGCCAUGAAAAGAAGGUUGAGGGCAAAAGUGUGGUGGCCUUUAAUUGACAGAGAAGUAGAAACCUUUGAGAAAAAUUGUCGUAACUGUUUAAUGGUUUCACGUCCAAAUAAUCCUGCGCCGAUGCAAAGGCAUGUAUUUCCAAAUGGCCCUUGGCAAUGUGUAGCUACAGACCUGUUGGGACCCCUACCGAAUAACGAAUAUCUACUCGUUUUAAUUGAUUAUUAUUCACGCUACCAAGAAAUAAAAUUCUUGAGGAAAAUUACCUCUGAUGAAAUAAUUAACGCUUUACAAGCAAUUUUUUGUCGCUUAGGAUUACCUAGAUCAUUAAGAGCAGAUAAUAAAAGGCAAUUUAUUAGCACAGAGUUUAGAAAAUAUUGCAAAGAUAACAACAUCCCCCUAAUCACGACACCACCCUAUUGGCCUCAAGCAAACGGCGAAGUUGAAAAUAUGAAUAAGUCGUUGGUGAAACGCUUGAAAAUUAAUUGUAAUGUAUAAUGUUACCCCUCAUGGUACUACCGGAUCCGCACCAACUGAACUGAUGUUUAACCGCACGAUUCGACACAAGAUACCGGGGAUACAAGAUAUAUCUGAUGAUAUUUUAGACUCGGCAACGCGAGACUUGGAUAUGAUAAAUAAACAAAAAGGGAAAAGGAAGGGGGAUACGACCCGCAUCGCAAAACCAUCUGAUAUAAAGCCGGGAGACAAAGUAUUACUUCGCAACGUAGUGACCUCACAUAAACUUACGCCCACGUUUAACUCCACGGAAUACGAAGUCGUAGAGUGUUGUGAAAAUGAAGUGAUAGUAGCGGCUGACGGAAAACGCGUUCUUAGGAAUAUAAGCCACGUUAAGAAGGUGCCACUUCAGGUCCAAGGCGAAAACUCAACUCAAACUGCAGUGUCUGGAAUAACACCCCCUGCCACAUCCACACCUCGCCCUCAACCAUCAACCACUGACAGUCACAACGAACAUCGGACCAAUACCUCUGGAAGUUGCAAGCCUAAAGACGGAUCCAAAAUACGUUUGAAGCUUUAUAAUAAAGGAGGGAUGUGAAGAACCGAACCAGAGAGCGAACAACGAGAGCCUACCAAUACCGAGUAAAUUACGUACAUGUAUACACAUUCUAGUUUAGUACACUUUAUACUGUGAAACUGUGAAGACGAGACAAUAAAUUACCGGAGUAUUAUACUAUACACGAUUGUCUUAUUACUCACGCAAACAAGUAGGUUCUUACACCACAUAUAAUGGUUUUCGUUUUUCUAACAAACCUUGUGUAUAUGUCAGUAUAGGAUUUAUAUAGCAUUUCCAGCAUUUCCCUGGGUUUGAUUAUUUUCUUUGUGGAUUCAAUAAAAAGAUAAAUAAUAAAUGAUAAAUGAAUUCAUCUGAUACUAAUAAAGGAAAAAUUAAACGUGUCCGCUGCAAUUCAACAAGAAGGUGGACGGUGCCAGAAGAAAAGGCGCUUAUGGACUUUCUAUCUGAAG
Bactrocera neohumeralis is the source of this 6092-nucleotide long non-coding RNA. RefSeq lists it as uncharacterized. The record is from RefSeq and is a predicted model, not a curated record. NCBI's taxonomy places the organism in Eukaryota, Metazoa, Arthropoda, Insecta, Diptera, Tephritidae. The transcript is spliced from 3 exons.